GACGAACGCUGGCGGCGUGCUUAACACAUGCAAGUCGAACGGAAAGGCCUGCUUUCCCUUGUGGAUUGCGGGUACUCGAGUGGCGAACGGGUGAGUAACACGUGAGUGAUCUGCCCCCAACUUGGGUAUAAGCCUGGGAAACUGGGUCUAAUUCCCGAUAGGACUGCAGGGUGGUGCCUGUGGUGGAAAACGAUUUUCUAGUGGUUGGGGAUGAGCUCGCGGCCUAUCAGCUUGUUGGUGGGGUAAUGGCCUACCAAGGCGGCGACGGGUAGCCGGCCUGAGGGGGUGGACGGCCACAUUGGGACUGCGAUACGGCCCAGACUCCUACGGGAGGCAGCAGUGGGGAAUAUGGCACAAUGGGCGGAAGCCUGAUGCAGCGACGCCGCGUGGGGGAUGACGGCCUUCGGGUUGUAAACUCCUUUCGACCGCGAGGAAGCCACCUGGUUGGAAGGGUGGUGACGGUAGUGGUAGAAGAAGCACCGGCUAACUACGUG
This 494-nucleotide ribosomal RNA is filed under the name uncultured bacterium. RNAcentral describes it as "partial 16S ribosomal RNA". It matches the Rfam family "Bacterial small subunit ribosomal RNA", at positions 28 to 507 of the family's 1533-position model. The record is from RNAcentral.